AAGUNUGAUGUGAAAGCCCCCGGCUCAACCGGGGAGGGUCAUUGGAAACUGGGGAACUUGAGUGCAGAAGAGGAGAGUGGAAUUCCAUGUGUAGCGGUGAAAUGCGUAGAUAUAUGGAGGAACACCAGUGGCGAAGGCGACUCUCUGGUCUGUAACUGACGCUGAGGCUCGAAAGCGUGGGUAGCAAACAGGAUUAGAUACCCUGGUAGUCCACGCCGUAAACGAUGAGUGCUAAGUGUUGGAGGGUUUCCGCCCUUCAGUGCUGCAGUUAACGCAUUAAGCACUCCGCCUGGGGAGUACGACCGCAAGGUUGAAACUCAAAGGAAUUGACGGGGACCCGCACAAGCGGUGGAGCAUGUGGCUUAAUUCGAAGCAACGCGAAGAACCUUACCAAGUCUUGACAUCCUUUGACCACUCUAGAGAUAGAGCUUUCCCUUCGGGGACAAAGUGACAGGUGGUGCAUGGUUGUCGUCAGCUCGUGUCGUGAGAUGUUGGGUUAAGUCCCGCAACGAGCGCAACCCUUAUUACUAGUUGCCAGCAUUCAGUUGGGCACUCUAGUGAGACUGCCGGUGACAAACCGGAGGAAGGUGGGGAUGACGUCAAAUCAUCAUGCCCCUUAUGACUUGGGCUACACACGUGCUACAAUGGAUGGUACAACGAGCAGCGAACUCGCGAGGGUAAGCGAAUCUCUUAAAGCCAUUCUCAGUUCGGAUUGUAGGCUGCAACUCGCCUACAUGAAGCCGGAAUCGCUAGUAAUCGCGGAUCAGCACGCCGCGGUGAAUACGUUCCCGGGUCUUGUACACACCGCCCGUCACACCACGAGAGUUUGUAACACCCAAAGUCGGUGAGGUAACCAU
Molecule: ribosomal RNA, 857 nt
Filed under: uncultured bacterium
Lineage: Bacteria
Description: bacterial SSU rRNA
Rfam family: Bacterial small subunit ribosomal RNA
Source: RNAcentral